Molecule: RNA transcript, 1673 nt
Organism: Oxyura jamaicensis (ruddy duck)
Lineage: Eukaryota; Metazoa; Chordata; Aves; Anseriformes; Anatidae
Exons: 6
Source: RefSeq, a predicted model, not a curated record
AUCGUUGGUGGAUGUUCCUGGUCUGGGCAGAGAUACCUUUAGCAGGGGUCUUAGAGGGUAAACAGAGCUUUUCUCUUUCCCACUUGGGUGAUAUGUAGUUAAGUCUUUGCUAGCUCUGAUGUACAAGAGUGAAUAUUUGCUGGGAGAGAGCACUGAGGACCCUGACCAGGCAAGCUCUGUAAGAAACUCAAAGUACAAUGUUCCUCGAGUCUAUGGCUGGAGCAGCACUAUCUGCAGGGUCCUGUUUUUUUAUUUCCAGUAUUCUCAGAACUACAGGAGAGCUCAGAGGCUCUCCAGUACCAGAAGGACACCAACUGGAGUGCGUCCAGCUGAGGCCACCAAGGGUGGUGGUCACUCCAGAACUGCUCAUAGACAGAAAGGUUUGGCAACGUUUGCACCGUGCAUGGCCACUGCCCGACAGCAUUAGUGGAAACUGCCUUUCCCUGGUGACCUUGCUGCUAAGCUGGAGACUGCCAGGGACUGUCACCUCCAAUGACACUGCUCAGAGGGUCCUUGUCAGAACAAUUACCACUGCAAGAUCAGUGUGGGCAUAGAAAACACAUUUCCUCAUCUAUUACUCAUCCCUUAGGUUUGUAAAGUGCCAAGCACUUCCCUGGUGCCUGCUCAGGUUCAUUGGCUGCACUCUGGAGAACGAAAAGGCAACUAGUCUUACUCCUCAUUUAACUAAACCAUGCCGAGAGAGAAAGAAGUGCCUCUCCUCUCUCCUCCCUGCUGUAAUCUAUCGCCGAAGGGCAGGGAACACCUUGGGCAGCAGGUGAGCAGCUGGACGGAGCGCAGGGGGCCCACGUGCUGCACCUCUUCCCCCUGCAGGACCCCGCAGCCUUAGGGAAAACUAGGAGGAACUGUGAUUUAUUCUCCACUCUCAAGUGAUACAGUGAUACUGUGAACCUUUUGAAGCAAAGUGAGGUGGUUAUUUUUUUUGUUGUUUCCUUUUUUUUUUUUUUUUUUUUUUUUUUUUCCCAGGGAUUCCCCAAGUGGAUGGCUGUCAAAGAUUUUAAUAUACUGCAGGCACAGCAGCUAAUUCUCAAAUCUCUUGCAGAAGGAUUUUACAGAGGGAAGCUAGGAUGCAAAUCCUUUUGAAGGCUUUUUCCAUUUUGAAACCUAUAAAUAGGAAAGUAGGGCAAAAUGACUUUGACAAGUUUAGACCUCACCUUCUUUAAUUACUCUCUUUGGAUCAACAACCUGACUGCAAAUGCUUAUCUGCUCCAACAUUACGCACAGGUUUGGAGUUUAUUUUUUAAAAGCAGUGCAUGACAGUUCUGCAUAAUAUUUUUAAUACCCUUGGCCACCAGAGAUUUCCAUAUUCCAGCCAAUCUUUAAAUUUAUAAUUGAUAUAAAUGGUGAACCAGGCUGAUUGCCUGUAUUGUCGUUUCAGUGCAAAAAGUCUGUCCAUUUAUUGUUCUUUAUGAAUGUAAAUUUUCUGCUGCUGCCUUUUUUGCAUUUCUUCUUCCUUUUCAAUAAUUGUGAAAAUUUUAAAAAUUGUCUUUUUACCAGUCAGUAACAAUAACAGCUAACAUACAUCACUAAUAAAAUAAACCAUUAAUAAAUUAGUUAUAAGAAUGUCAUUUUAUUAUAUGUUUAAAAUAGAAUAUAUCUGGUUGCUCUUCUAUGAUGUAUAAUGUUGUUUUAAUAAAUAAAAUAGAUAUUGCAUA